This 483-nucleotide ribosomal RNA is filed under the name uncultured bacterium. Its description in RNAcentral is "bacterial SSU rRNA". It matches the Rfam family "Bacterial small subunit ribosomal RNA", at positions 29 to 507 of the family's 1533-position model. The record is from RNAcentral.
AUGAACGCUAGCGGCAGGCCUAAUACAUGCAAGUCGAACGGUAGAUCGGGUAGCAAUACCUUGAUUGAGAGUGACGUAAGGGUGCGUAACACGUAUGCAAUCUACCCUCAACAGGAGUAUAGCUCGGGGAAACUCGGAUUAACACUCCAUAACAUUACGAUGUGGCAUCACAUUGUGAUUAAAACUCCGGUGGUUGAGGAUGAGCAUGCGUCUGAUUAGUUAGUUGGAGGUGUAACGGACCCCCAAGACGAUGAUCAGUAGGGGAACUGAGAGGUUGAUCCCCCACACUGGCACUGAGAUACGGGCCAGACUCCUACGGGAGGCAGCAGUAGGGAAUAUUGGUCAAUGGGUGAGAGCCUGAACCAGCCAUGCCGCGUGCAGGAAGACGGCCUUCUGGGUUGUAAACUGCUUUUAUCUGGGGAUAAAAAGCCCAUGCGUGGGACAUUGAAGGUACCAGAUGAAUAAGCACCGGCUAACUACGUG